GGGUUGUGAGGUUAAGCGACUAAGCGUACACGGUGGAUGCCCUGGCAGUCAGAGGCGAUGAAGGGCGUGCUAAUCUGCGAUAAGCGCCGGUAAGGUGAUAUGAACCGUUAUAACCGGCGAUACCCGAAUGGGGAAACCCAGUGUGACUCGUCACACUAUCAUUAACUGAAUCCAUAGGUUAAUGAGGCGAACCGGGGGAACUGAAACAUCUAAGUACCCCGAGGAAAAGAAAUCAACCGAGAUUCCCCCAGUAGCGGCGAGCGAACGGGGAGGAGCCCAGAGCCUGAAUCAGCAUGUGUGUUAGUGGAAGCGUCUGGAAAGGCGCGCGAUACAGGGUGACAGCCCCGUACACAAAAGCGCAUGUGCUGUGAGCUCGAUGAGUAGGGCGGGACACGUGGUAUCCUGUCUGAAUAUGGGGGGACCAUCCUCCAAGGCUAAAUACUCCUGACUGACCGAUAGUGAACCAGUACCGUGAGGGAAAGGCGAAAAGAACCCCGGCGAGGGGAGUGAAAAAGAACCUGAAACCGUGUACGUACAAGCAGUGGGAGC
RNAcentral lists this ribosomal RNA (549 nucleotides) under Salmonella enterica subsp. enterica serovar Infantis. RNAcentral's name for it is "bacterial LSU rRNA". It matches the Rfam family "Bacterial large subunit ribosomal RNA", at positions 1 to 580 of the family's 2925-position model. Lineage: Bacteria; Pseudomonadati; Pseudomonadota; Gammaproteobacteria; Enterobacterales; Enterobacteriaceae. The record is from RNAcentral. RNAcentral also lists the same sequence under 48 other names.